UACGAAGGGGGCUAGCGUUGUUCGGAAUUACUGGGCGUAAAGGGCGCGUAGGCGGCCUGUUAAGUCGAACGUGAAAUCCCCGGGCUCAACCCGGGAACUGCGUCCGAUACUGGCAGGCUUGAAUUCGGGAGAGGGAUGCGGAAUUCCAGGUGUAGCGGUGAAAUGCGUAGAUAUCUGGAGGAACACCGGUGGCGAAGGCGGCAUCCUGGACCGAAAUUGACGCUGAGGCGCGAAAGCCAGGGGAGCAAACGGG
This 253-nucleotide ribosomal RNA is filed under the name uncultured bacterium. RNAcentral's name for it is "partial 16S ribosomal RNA". It matches the Rfam family "Bacterial small subunit ribosomal RNA", at positions 524 to 776 of the family's 1533-position model. The record is from RNAcentral.